RNAcentral lists this unclassified non-coding RNA (315 nucleotides) under Hevea brasiliensis (rubber tree). The record is from RNAcentral. Lineage: Eukaryota; Viridiplantae; Streptophyta; Magnoliopsida; Malpighiales; Euphorbiaceae.
GAUUUUAAUUCAGCUAUAACAAAAAUUUGCGUAACUAACUCAGAAUAGCCAGUAAAAUCCAAAAUAGCAACUCUCCAAGCUCUCUUAUCUUUAUCCUUCUACCUAAAUCAUCCAUUCAUCUAGCUCUCUUCUGCAUUAGGCAGCGAGAAAAAACUAGGCCCAUUUUUGUCAAUUUAUCCACUUAAAUCUAUUUUCCAACCUUCUCUAUUGUUCUCAGAUAUAUGACAACUCCUCCUUACCAUUAAUGCUGUGGCUUGUAAAGGUCAUUAGAAAACCAGUUUGUGUUGUGUCUGAUAUAGAGAUUUUUACUAUAAU